CAGCAGCCGCGGUAAUACGAAGGGGGCUAGCGUUGUUCGGAAUUACUGGGCGUAAAGGGCGCGUAGGCGGCCGAUCAAGUCAGAUGUGAAAGUCCUGGGCUUAACCUGGGGACUGCAUUUGAUACUGAUUGGCUUGAAUUCGGGAGAGGAUAGCGGAAUUCCCAGUGUAGAGGUGAAAUUCGUAGAUAUUGGGAAGAACACCGGUGGCGAAGGCGGCUCUCUGGGACGGUACUGACGCUGAGACGCGAAAGCGUGGGGAGCGAACAGGAUUAGAUACCCUGGUAGUCCACGCCGUAAACGUUGGGCACUAGGUGUGGGACUCUAUCGACGGGUUCCGUGCCGUANCCAACGCAUUAAGUGCCCCGCCUGGGGAGUACGGCCGCAAGGCUGAAACUCAAAGGAAUUGACGG
RNAcentral lists this ribosomal RNA (410 nucleotides) under uncultured bacterium. RNAcentral's name for it is "bacterial SSU rRNA". It matches the Rfam family "Bacterial small subunit ribosomal RNA", at positions 509 to 916 of the family's 1533-position model. The record is from RNAcentral.